Long non-coding RNA from Gasterosteus aculeatus aculeatus (three-spined stickleback), 272 nucleotides. The record is from Ensembl. NCBI's taxonomy places the organism in Eukaryota, Metazoa, Chordata, Actinopteri, Perciformes, Gasterosteidae.
UGUAACAUCUUAGUUACACAGUGAACCGGUUACUAUGUAACAUCUUAGUUACACAGUGAACCGGCUACUAUGUAACAUGUUAGUUACACGGUGAACAGGUUACUAUGUAACAUGUUAGUUACACGGUGAACAGGCUACUAUGUAACAUGUUAGUUACACGGUGAACAGGCUACUAUGUAACAUCUUAGUUACACGGUGAACAGGCUACUAUGUAACAUCUUAGUUACACAGUGAACAGGCUACUAUGUAACAUCUUAGUUACACAGUGAACA